RNAcentral lists this ribosomal RNA (665 nucleotides) under uncultured Bacilli bacterium. Its description in RNAcentral is "bacterial SSU rRNA". It matches the Rfam family "Bacterial small subunit ribosomal RNA", at positions 72 to 720 of the family's 1533-position model. The record is from RNAcentral. Lineage: Bacteria; Bacillati; Bacillota; Bacilli.
ACGGGAGCUUGCUCCCUUAGGUCAGCGGCGGACGGGUGAGUAACACGUGGGUAACCUGCCUGUAAGACUGGGAUAACUCCGGGAAACCGGGGCUAAUACCGGAUGCUUGAUUGAACCGCAUGGUUCAAUCAUAAAAGGUGGCUUUUAGCUACCACUUGCAGAUGGACCCGCGGCGCAUUAGCUAGUUGGUGAGGUAACGGCUCACCAAGGCGACGAUGCGUAGCCGACCUGAGAGGGUGAUCGGCCACACUGGGACUGAGACACGGCCCAGACUCCUACGGGAGGCAGCAGUAGGGAAUCUUCCGCAAUGGACGAAAGUCUGACGGAGCAACGCCGCGUGAGUGAUGAAGGUUUUCGGAUCGUAAAACUCUGUUGUUAGGGAAGAACAAGUACCGUUCGAAUAGGGCGGUACCUUGACGGUACCUAACCAGAAAGCCACGGCUAACUACGUGCCAGCAGCCGCGGUAAUACGUAGGUGGCAAGCGUUGUCCGGAAUUAUUGGGCGUAAAGCGCGCGCAGGCGGUUUCUUAAGUCUGAUGUGAAAGCCCCCGGCUCAACCGGGGAGGGUCAUUGGAAACUGGGGAACUUGAGUGCAGAAGAGGAGAGUGGAAUUCCACGUGUAGCGGUGAAAUGCGUAGAGAUGUGGAGGAACACCAGUGGCGAAG